AACUUUUAGCAACGGAUCUCUUGGUUCUCGCAUCGAUGAAGAACGCAGCGAAAUGCGAUACGUAAUGUGAAUUGCAGAUUGUGAAUCAUCGAAUCUUUGAACGCAUAUUGCACUCUUUGGUAUUCCGAAGAGUAUGCUUGUUUCAGUAUCAUGAAAAUCUCACAUUUAAAACAUUUUUUGUUUCAAAUUGUGGACUUGGAUUUGCGAUUUCUCGUAAAAUUGCUAAUCUGAAAUGAAUUUCAUGAAGCUUAUUAUGCUUUGAACCUUUGCUUAAUAGUUUUGCUUUGUCAAAUCUUUUGCAAUUGUCUCAAUAGCCCAGAAAGUGAAUUGAUUUUACGAAAUUAAUUAAUCUCAUUUUUUGAUCUGAAAUCAAGUAGGAUUACCCGCUGAACUUAAGCAUAUCAAUAAGCGGAGGCU
RNAcentral lists this unclassified non-coding RNA (417 nucleotides) under uncultured fungus. Its description in RNAcentral is "sequence contains ITS2". The stretch from base 1 to 151 matches the Rfam family "5.8S ribosomal RNA". The record is from RNAcentral. Lineage: Eukaryota; Fungi.